UACAGAGGUCCCGAGCGUUGUUCGGAUUCACUGGGCGUAAAGGGUGCGUAGGUGGUGGGGUAAGUCUGAUGUGAAAUCCCCGGGCUCAACCUGGGAAUGGCAUUGGAUACUGGCUCGCUAGAGUGCGGUAGAGGGUGGUGGAAUUCCCGGUGUAGCAGUGAAAUGCGUAGAGAUCGGGAGGAACAUCUGUGGCGAAGGCGGCCACCUGGACCAACACUGACACUGAGGCACGAAAGCGUGGGGAGCAAACAGG
RNAcentral lists this ribosomal RNA (253 nucleotides) under uncultured bacterium. Its description in RNAcentral is "partial 16S ribosomal RNA". It matches the Rfam family "Bacterial small subunit ribosomal RNA", at positions 524 to 776 of the family's 1533-position model. The record is from RNAcentral.